UUCCGUGACGUCAGGCGCUCAAGGCCAUCUGCGCACGCGCUCUGCCAGAAGGGGCGGGGAAGAGCUCCGUGGUUGGCUCACAAGUAAGAAAGUAAACAUAAAAAAGUGAAAACAACUGGUUAUCCAAAGUCCCACCUGAUGCCCUUGACACACAUCUCACUGGAGAGAGCUCCUGGUAACCAUCAUUCCAAUCUUUGAUUUUAUGCAUUUGACCAUUUUAGGUACCUCAUGACCUAGGAACAAUACCUUUGAAAUAUAAUCAUCAAGGAAGGUAACACCUAUAUUUCCCAGUUUCUGUGAGAGCCCAACCAUGAGCAAGUUGCAAAACUACCACCUGUCAUAGAGAGCCUAAUGCAUGGAGGCUAAACAAUAUGCUACUAAACACCAAUGGAUCACUGAAGAAAUCAAAGAAGAAAUUAAUAAAGUACCCAGAAACAAAUAAAAAUGAAAACACAGUGAUCCAAAAUCUAUGGGAUAUAGCAAAAGCAGUUCUAAGAGAAGAGGUUAUAGUGAUACAAGCCUACUUCAGGAAACAAGAAAAAUAUCACAUAAACAAUGUAACCUUCCAUCUAUGAAGCAGAAAAAAAACAAACAAAACCCAAAGUUAGAAGGAAAGAAAUCAUAAAAAUCAGAAUAGAAAUAAAUGAAAUAGAAACAAGCAAAAAUUACAAAAGCUCAAUGAAAGUAAGAGCCGUUUCUUUGAAAAGAUAAAGAAAAGUGAUAACCUUUAGCCUGACUCAUCAAGAAAAAAAAAAAAAGGCCCAAAUCAAUAAAAUCAGAAAUGAAAAAGAAGAGGUUACAACCAACACCACAGAAAUACAAGGGAUCAUUAAGAGAUUACUAUGAAUAAUUACUUGCCAAUAAAGUGGACAACCUAGAAGAAAAGGUCAAAUUCCCAGAAAUGUAUAAUCUCCAAAGACUGAAUCAGAAAGAAAUAGAAAAUAUGAACAGACCAAUUGCCAGUAAUGAAAUUGAAUUAGUAAUUUUAAAAAUCCCCAUAAACAAAAUUCCAGGACCAGAUGGUUUCUACCAAAUAUUUAGAGAAGAUUUAACACCCAUCCUUCUCAAACAAUUCCAAAAAAAUGCAGAAGAAGGAACACUUCUGAACUCAUUCUAUGAGGCGAGCAUCAUCCUAUUAGAAACAUCUAAAUCCUAGUAACAACGUGUAAAUAAGGGGAUGGAUGAAGAUGUUUUAGGCAGUUGCAAACUGACAAGUUGGCAAUCAUAAUUAAAAUAGGUAAAGUUGAAUUCAAAUUAAAAGUAUUAAUUGGGGCUGUUAAAUUAACAGCUAAAACCAGACAACGAUAUCACACACACA
Non-coding RNA from Kogia breviceps (pygmy sperm whale), 1318 nucleotides. The record is from RefSeq and is a predicted model, not a curated record. NCBI's taxonomy places the organism in Eukaryota, Metazoa, Chordata, Mammalia, Artiodactyla, Physeteridae.